This 253-nucleotide ribosomal RNA is filed under the name uncultured bacterium. RNAcentral describes it as "partial 16S ribosomal RNA". It matches the Rfam family "Bacterial small subunit ribosomal RNA", at positions 524 to 776 of the family's 1533-position model. The record is from RNAcentral.
UACAGAGGUCUCAAGCGUUGUUCGGAUUCAUUGGGCGUAAAGGGUGCGUAGGCGGCGCGGUAAGUCGGGUGUGAAAUCUCGGGGCUUAACUCCGAAACUGCAUUCGAUACUGCCGUGCUUGAGGACUGGAGAGGAGACUGGAAUUUACGGUGUAGCGGUGAAAUGCGUAGAUAUCAGGUGGAACACCCGUAGCGAAGGCGGCAUUCUGGGCCGAUACUGACGCUGAGGAGCGAAAGCGUGGGGAGCGAACAGG